This 408-nucleotide long non-coding RNA is filed under the name Medicago truncatula (barrel medic). RNAcentral's name for it is "long non-coding RNA (MTRU_LNC007291)". Lineage: Eukaryota; Viridiplantae; Streptophyta; Magnoliopsida; Fabales; Fabaceae. The record is from RNAcentral.
UUCUCUUUCUUUUCCCUUCCUUGGCACUAGCGCCUUUCUCUCUCUCUCUCUCUCUUUUGCGUUGAAACUUUUCUUCUUCCCUGUGACAUUCAAUUCAUUCUAUCCCUGUUUUGGUUUAUGAUAUUGAUAAGCUUUGUGGAAUUUUUUACAAAGGUCUUCCUUUAAUUUGAAGAACCACAUGUUGAUUCAUAAAAAUAGUUCUUUAAAAUCAAGCACCGCAUGGAAUUAAAACACAAUAGAUUGAGAUACCCAUAGAGGCACCCAACUUGGCAGAGACACCCAUCGUUUAUUCAAUUUCUCAAAGUUUGUUAAUUUGUUUGAAAUUUAUCUCAAUACUUGGUUCAAUUUUUGUUGGUAAGAAUAAAUAAAAAAUCUCUAUCAUUGUUGGACUGUAGAGAUGCUUGUGUG